UCAAGCUACAAAGAGCACAAGGGGAAUGCCUUGGCACCGAGAGCCGAAGAAGGACGUGACUAACUGCGAUAAGCUACGGGGAGCUGUAAGUGAGCGUUAUAUCCGUAGAUUUCCGAAUGGAGCAAUCCGAUUAGAGGAAAGUCUAAUCAUCAUAUACUGAAUACAUAGGUAUAUGAGGGGAACCGCCUGAACUGAAACAUCUAAGUAGGGCGAGGAAGAGAAAUCAACAGAGAUUCCGUAAGUAGUGGCGAGCGAACGCGGAAGAGGCCAAACCUAAUGUAGUAAUAUGUUAGGGGUUCGGACAGUAUAAUGAAUUGUCGAGAUUUAGCCGAAUGUCAUGGGAAGGGCAAUCAAAGAAGGUGAAAAUCCUGUAGGCGAAAAGUUAAGACAUCAGACUGUAUCCAGAGUACCGCCGGACACGUGAAACCCGGUGGGAAUACGGGGGGACCAUCCUCCAAGCCUAAAUACUACUCGGUGACCGAUAGAGAAGAAGUACUGUGAAGGAAAGGUGAAAAGCACCCCGGAAGGGGAGUGAAAGAGAACCUGAAACCUUGUGUUUACAAGCACCGAAAGUUCAUCAACGAACGAUCGGGUACCUUUUGUAGAAUGGUCCGGCGAGUGAAUGUAACUGGCAAGGUUAAGCACUUAAGGUGUGAAGCCGUAGCGAGAGCGAGUCUGAAAAGGGCGCAUGAAGUCAGUUGUAUUCGACCCGAAACCGGGUGACCUACCCAUGUCCAGGCUGAAGUGCAGGUAAAACUUCAUGGAGGGCCGAACCGACUCCCGUUGAAAUGGUAGCGGAUGAGGUGUGGGUAGCGGAGAAAUUCCAAUCGAACCCGGAGAUAGCUGGUUCUCUCCGAAAUAGCUUUAGGGCUAGCCUUGGAAUAGAUUACUGGAGGUAAAGCACUGAAUUGGCUAGGGGCCGAGAGGUUACUGAACCUUAUCAAACUAAGAAUGCCAGAUAAUCGUUUUCCAGGAGUCAGACAGUGGGAGAUAAGUUUCAUUGUCAAAAGGGAAACAGCCCAGACCUACAGCUAAGGUCCCAAAGUAUAGUUAAGUGGAAAAGGAUGUGGAAUUGCAUAGACAACCAGGAUGUUGGCUUAGAAGCAGCCACUCAUUAAAAGAGUGCGUAAUAGCUCACUGGUCGAGUGAUUCUGCGCCGAAAAUUUAACGGGGCUAAACUAUACACCGAAGCUUAGGAUACCGCAAGGUAUGGUAGGAGAGCGUUCUGUACGGAGUGAAGUCGUAGCGAAAGCGGCGGUGGACUGUACAGAAGUGAGAAUGCCGGAAUAAGUAGCGAGAAUUAAGUGAGAAUCUUAAUGGCCGAAAGUCUAAGGUUUUUGGAGGAAGGUUCGUCCGCUCCAAGUAAGUCGGGAGCUAAGGUCAGGCCGAAAGGCGUAGCCGAUGCACAAACGGUUGAUAUUCCGUUACCGUCUACAAUUUAAACAAAGGGACACAUACAAAGCGUUUAACCCGGGCGAUGGUUGACCCGGGCGCAAGGGACUGAAAUAAGAGUAGGGAAGUAAAUGUGGCGUAUGGCGAGAAAAGCUUUGUGAAUAGAAGUAGACGCCCGUACCGCAAACCGACACAGGUGGACAGGAAGAGAAUUCUAAGGCCAGCGGGAGAAGGGUAGUUAAGGAACUCGGCAAAUUGACUCCGUAACUUCGGAAUAAGGAGUGCUCGAAAGAGCCGCAGAGAAUAGGCCCAGGCGACUGUUUAGCAAAAACACAGGUCUCUGCCAAAUCGAAAGAUGAAGUAUAGGGGCUGACACCUGCCCGGUGCCGGAAGGUUAAGAGGAGGAGUGCAAGCUCCGAAUUGAAGCCCCGGUAAACGGCGGCCGUAACUAUAACGGUCCUAAGGUAGCGAAAUUCCUUGUCGGGUAAG
RNAcentral lists this ribosomal RNA (1881 nucleotides) under human gut metagenome. RNAcentral describes it as "bacterial LSU rRNA". It matches the Rfam family "Bacterial large subunit ribosomal RNA", at positions 3 to 1980 of the family's 2925-position model. The record is from RNAcentral.